UCCCCCACUCCAGCUUAAUGGCAGUCCCUAUCAUGCUGCUCAUGCCAUGUCACCUCGAUAGGAGAGGAGCAGCAAUAGACCCCAUCAAAAUCAUUAUACAAUAUUGUAAAAACAAAAUUUAUGACUCUCUUGCUAUUCAUUUUCAAAAAUUUUUUAUCGUUACUUAAGAACAAAAGAGAGAUGUAGCUGCUGCUCCCAAUCUCUAGCUUUUUUAGAUUUGUUUUUAAAAUUCUAAAUAUUUAAAUAAUUAUUUCAUAAUGGUGUUAUAAUAAAAAAUAACAACAAUAUGGAAGAAAUGAUUGGUAGUAUUUUUUAAUUAU
This 320-nucleotide long non-coding RNA is filed under the name Elaeis guineensis (African oil palm). Its description in RNAcentral is "long non-coding RNA (EGUI_LNC076385)". Lineage: Eukaryota; Viridiplantae; Streptophyta; Magnoliopsida; Arecales; Arecaceae. The record is from RNAcentral.